RNAcentral lists this ribosomal RNA (405 nucleotides) under uncultured bacterium. RNAcentral describes it as "bacterial SSU rRNA". It matches the Rfam family "Bacterial small subunit ribosomal RNA", at positions 917 to 1344 of the family's 1533-position model. The record is from RNAcentral.
GGGCCCGCACAAGCGGUGGAGUAUGUGGUUUAAUUCGAUGCAACGCGAAGAACCUUACCAACCCUUGACAUCCUGUGCUACAUUCAGAGAUGAAUGGUUCCCUUCGGGGACGCAGUGACAGGUGCUGCAUGGCUGUCGUCAGCUCGUGUCGUGAGAUGUUCGGUUAAGUCCGGCAACGAGCGCAACCCACAUCCCUAGUUGCCAGCAGUUCGGCUGGGCACUCUAUGGAAACUGCCCGUGAUAAGCGGGAGGAAGGUGUGGAUGACGUCAAGUCCUCAUGGCCCUUACGGGUUGGGCUACACACGUGCUACAAUGGUAGUGACAAUGGGUUAAUCCCAAAAAGCUAUCUCAGUUCGGAUUGUCGUCUGCAACUCGACGGCAUGAAGUCGGAAUCGCUAGUAAUCG